AGAGUUUGAUUCUGGCUCAGGACGAACGUUGGCGGUGUGUCUAAGGCAUGCAAGUCGAACGAGAUCGCUUUCUUCGGAAAGCAUUAUAUCUAGUGGCAGACGGCUGAGUAACGCGUAAGUAACUUACCCUAGAGUGGGGAAUAACACAGAGAAAUCUGUGCUAAUACCGCAUACGAUUUAUUGAUAAUUUCUAUAAAUGAAAGAUUUAUCGCUCUUGGAUGGGCUUGCGUCCUAUCAGGUAGUUGGCGGGGUAAUGGCCCACCAAGCCUAAGACGGGUAGCUGGUGUGAGAGCACGACCAGCCAGAGGGGGACUGAGACACGGCCCCCACUCCUACGGGAGGCAGCAGCUAAGAAUAUUGCACAAUGGACGAAAGUCUGAUGCAGCGACACCGCGUGAGGGAUGAAGGUUUUAGGAUUGUAAACCUCUUUUAUUAGGGAAUAGCAAGGAAGGUACCUAAUGAAUAAGCUACGGCUAACUACGUGCCAGCAGCCGCGGUAAUACGUAGGUAGCGAACGUUGUCCGGAAUCACUGGGCGUAAAGGGUCCGUAGGCGGUUUGAUAAGUCUCAUAUGAAAACUUCAAGCUCAACUUGGAGAGGUUGUGAGAUACUGUCAAACUAGAGACUGUUAGAGGUAAGUGGAAUUCCAGGUGUAGUGGUGAAAUGCGUAGAUAUCUGGAGGAACACCAGUGGCGAAAGCGACUUACUGGGACAGUUCUGACGCUAAGGGACGAAAGCGUGGGGAGCGAACCGGAUUAGAUACCCGGGUAGUCCACGCCGUAAACGAUGAUUGCUAGGUUUUCGGGGCAUCGACCCCUCGUGAGCCGAAGUUAACGCGUUAAGCAAUCCGCCUGAGUAGUACGGCCGCAAGGCUAAAACUCAAAGAAAUUGACGGGGGACCGCACAAGCAGCGGAGCGUGUGGUUUAAUUCGAUGGUAAGCGAAGAACCUUACCAGGGUUUGACAUGUAAGUAGUACUGAACCGAAAGGGGAUGGACCCGCAAGGGAGCUUACACAGGUGUUGCAUGGUUGUCGUCAGCUCGUGCCGUGAGGUGUUGGGUUAAGUCCC
This 1067-nucleotide ribosomal RNA is filed under the name marine metagenome. Its description in RNAcentral is "bacterial SSU rRNA". It matches the Rfam family "Bacterial small subunit ribosomal RNA", at positions 8 to 1088 of the family's 1533-position model. The record is from RNAcentral.